Non-coding RNA from Rattus norvegicus (Norway rat), 69 nucleotides. The record is from Rfam. Lineage: Eukaryota; Metazoa; Chordata; Mammalia; Rodentia; Muridae.
GGGGAUUUAGCUCAGCGGUAGAGCGCUUGCCUAGCAGGCACAAGGCCCUGGGUUCGAUCCCCAGCUCCG